RNAcentral lists this ribosomal RNA (253 nucleotides) under uncultured bacterium. RNAcentral describes it as "partial 16S ribosomal RNA". It matches the Rfam family "Bacterial small subunit ribosomal RNA", at positions 524 to 776 of the family's 1533-position model. The record is from RNAcentral.
UACGGAGGAUGCAAGCGUUAUCCGGAAUGAUUGGGCGUAAAGCGUCCGCAGGUGGCAAUGUAAGUCUGCUGUUAAAGAGUGAGGCUCAACCUCAUAAGAGCAGUGGAAACUACAUAGCUAGAGUGCGUUCGGGGCAAAGGGAAUUCCUGGUGUAGCGGUGAAAUGCGUAGAGAUCAGGAAGAACACCGGUGGCGAAAGCGCUUUGCUAGGCCGCAACUGACACUGAGGGACGAAAGCUAGGGGAGCGAAUGGG